GCUGGGCAUGGUGUUGCAUGCCUGUAGUCCCAGCUACUCAGGAGGCUGAGGCAGUAGAAUUGCUUGAACCCAGGAGGUGGAGGUUGCAGUGAGCUGAGAUCGUGCCAUUGCACUCCAGCCUGGGUGACAGAGCAAGACUCUGUCUCAA
RNAcentral lists this non-coding RNA (148 nucleotides) under Pan troglodytes (chimpanzee). The record is from Rfam by way of RNAcentral. Lineage: Eukaryota; Metazoa; Chordata; Mammalia; Primates; Hominidae.